UUGUUCCAGUUUCUUUAGGUAUCCUUUGGGGGUGGAGAGGCUCUCUCUUUAGCCAGCUGAAGACAAAAUGGAGGGGUCUCCUGGGGAUUAAAUAGACUUUCUCUUGUGGAUAGAGACCCCCUCCUCUUUCCUAUACAUAAUCCAGCUCCAAGAUGGAGUUUUGGAAUCAUAUGGGCAAGUCACAAUUCCAUGCAUGACUCAGUUUUUACAGGUAGCAGCCAUUGCCCAUAUGCUAUCUUGAAUGUCUCCAGGAAGACUUCUUAUGUGGAUUGGAGUCUUCCAAGAUCCAUUGUCAGUUAAGUGUUUUUUGAUUGGGCACUUAAUUUGCACAUUCCUUUCUUAAGAAGCUGACCAAAUGCUUUACUAAGGCUAUUUAAACUCAAACAAGUACACAGCCAAUAUUAAUAACUUUGAAUCCAAAAACGAUACAUGCAUACAAAUAGGAUGAAUGUAUUCAGUAGAUCAUAACCUUUACAGAGAUAUGUUACAUAGCAUAUGUAGCAUAAAACAUAUUCCAGUUAUGUCAUAUAUACAUUCAUAAGUAUAUUCCCAUAAAGCAUUAUGGGGUGCAACUUCACAGUGUUCUGUUCCAUCUAGUGGUUCCGAGACCACUUAGCUAGAGAAAGAAAAUGAGUGUGCUACAGCCUUACCUAACAUCCAGCUGGUUUUUAGCUCAUGUGGCAAAGGCUCAUGCACUAAGCUCCAGAGGUCCCACAUUCGAUCCCGCCGAGUGGGGUCUGUUGACAUUACAUUUGCUUAUUGAUAUUGUCCACAUUAUCCAUCUUUUCAACCUUGUGGUUCUUAAUCCCUUUAAAAGCCAAUAUUGUGGUAUAUAAGCAUAUGGUGCAAGGAAUCCAGUGAUGAAAGAGUUAGGAGAGAUGCCAGAUUUUCUUCUCCUCCCCCCACAGAGGAACUCAGGUUUCAAACUCUGCUGUGAUGCCAUGUUCUAUGCCCUAUGAAGACCUUGCCAGAAGAGGGAAGUCAAGAACUAGCAUUUGUAACACAAAAAAAAAAUAGAAAAUAUAUUUUAAAAACUAUAAGGCCAUAUUUAUACAUGAUAAAAGAGGAUUCUUUAAAUUUAGCAUGGGGGUGUUUAAUGGCAAAAUUUCUUGCCAGAAAUAUGAGGAUUGUAAAUACAGCUGUCAGACUGGAACAGUUUCCCACCCAGAAACAGCAAAUGGCAACUGUAGGUAGGGCAAACUGGAUAGCUCACGGAGUUGUUAAUGGAACAUAAUGUCUUUCAUUUCUAGAUACCUUAUUCUAGUCAGACUCAGACAUGUAGUGACUGAAAAAUAUGAGGUUUCAGAAUAGCAGCCGUGUUAGUCUGUAUUCACAAAAAGAAAAGGAGUACUUGUGGCACCUUAGAGACUAACAAAUUUAUUUGAGCAUAAGCUUUCGUGAGCUACAGCUCACUUCAUCUGAUGCAUCCCAUGAAGUGAGCUGUAGCUCACGAAAGCUUAUGCUCAAAUAAAUUUGUUAGUCUCUAAGGUGCCACAAGUACUCCUUUUCUUUUUGAAAAAUAUUACCAUUUCAUGGUUUUAGGUGGUCUAAGUGAAUCAAGGUCUCCUCCUUGUUGUCAGGCAGUGAGACCAAGAACUGAAUGAGCCAGGGAAACUGCACUCACCUCUCUAACCUCUACAGGGGGUUCCAUCCAGGUCAAAGGAAAGGCAUAGUGGCAGCAGAGUGUGUAGUGGGGAGUGGGGGCUGAGUUGAGGAAAGAUGUCCUGCCAAUGUAUCUAUUCUGUAGAUAGAGAACUCCAGACUCCUCUGUCUCAUACAUUUCAACAGAACAGAAUUCACACAAUCAAACUAAGACAAACUAAAGUAAAAUUAGGUUUCAGAGUAGCAGCCAUGUUAGUCUGUAUUCGCAAAAAGAAAAGGAGUACUUGUGGCACCUUAGAGACUAACAAAUUUAAACCUGUCAUUAUGCAAGGCACUGAAUUUAGCUGUAUAGAGUGGAAAAAUUUGUUAGUCUCUAAGGUGCCACAAGUACUCCUUUUCUUUUUAAAAUAAAAUUGUUAUGUGACUAAUGAAAUGAAUAGAUAGAAUCUCAGCCUAAUCCAGGAUUAUGAUGAUUUCUGCCUUGUCUUUCUUUAAACUUCCUAGAGUUUUCAGGGGAGUGUCAGCAAAGCUGGGGAAUACUUCUGCACAAGGUAUAGCUCUCUGGCAACACCCUACACUGUGGCUAUAACAUCCUAUGCUUUAGCCCUGUUGGGCAAACUGGAUGAUGAGAAGGAGCUUGUGACAGCUUUGAAAGAUAAAGUUUUGUGGCUAAUUCAGUAACAGAAAGAUGUGGCCUUGUUGGGAGGGAAUUCAAAAGUGAGCAACAAAAAUGAUAAAGGGAGGCAGAGACAGAGACAACAAUGUGGGAUACAGCGUAAUGGUCCAGUCUUUCAAACACUUACCGUCAAGGAUAGUGCUUACUCUGCUAAGUAGUCCCAUUGAAGUCAGUAUUACUACAUUAGUAUCAUUUAUGCCUGGAAAUAUUCCAAAUGAUAGCUACAUUAAGAUGGAGUUAAAGGUUGAGAGUACAUAUCGGUACAAUACAUUACAGAAAAGUUGUAAAUAUUCCAAAAUUAAGCAGGACAGUCAGACUUAAGGUUAAACUUGAAAAAAAAGUCCAAUUGCAUUGAGGUAUGGAAAUGCACUGUUCAAGCACACAAGAAAACUUUAUCUCUGCCCUUGUAGUGAUGCCUUGAGAAAAAUUCUCUUUAAAAAUCUGUUUAAAAAACUUUAAAAAACUGGAACCACAAACACUAUAUUGUCUUAAUCAUAAUCAUGCUGUUGUUAUAUGACACCACUACAGGUAACUUUAAUUCUGAAUUUCCUGAGUAUCUGAUGCUGGUUUUGGGGCUGGUGGCCGCUUCCAGGAGCCACAUGAAGCCAGAGCAGGUAGGGAACCUUUCUUAGCCUGCCAGUGCAGACCACAGCUGCCAGGGUCCAUUUUCAACCAGGCAUUCCGGUCGAAAACUGGCAACCCUACUUGCUGGUAAACAACCAUCACACAGUAACAACUUGUCAUCAUCAGCCUGAGCUAGGAUUUUACCAAUGAUCUCCCCAUGAAUUCCUUGUGUGGACAAACCCUACAUUUUCAGUCUAAUUCCAAGGUUUCUACAUCAUAAACACUCCCCACUCAGUGAGUUGGCAAUAAUCAGCCCCCUUGUUGGAAGGUUCAGCAAAGGCCAAGAUUUGAGAGGCCCAUACAAACUGAGCUGCUUUCUUACUCCUAGACAGAGUCCUUCUAGAAGAGGCUCGAGGGGCCUGGACAGUGAGGCAAUAGUGCGUGUAUACAAGGACCUUGCCGUGCUGCUGUCUGUGUUUUAUAUGUCCUUGGGGAUACACCUUUUCUCAGUAAUAAUGUCUUUCUUUCCCACAGAAAACUGCUUCAAGCAGCACCAGAUGAAUGGUUCAAUCACCCUGGAGACACGGUUAAAGGAAGCCUGUAAACCUGAAGCGGAUUAUGGCUAAACAGAGUCAUGUCACUGGCUCCAGCUUUGUUGUUACAUAACAGAUAACAAAACUCCAAGUGGGGCAUGGUGCUGGCACAUAGGGUUUCAGCAAAAAAACUGGAGCCGGCCCUGGAAGUAUAACCUAUUACACGGAGACAUGGAGGAUUCUCUUAACACAUUGUAUAAAAUCAGGCUCAUAAAAACUGAAGAAUCGAGCAGUUAUGAGAACUACAUGAUGGAAAUUUUGGAAGUCAUUAAAGCAGGAGCUGGCAGUGACCAAUGGGAAUUAUUUGGACAGAGUCCAGGUGCCGUCAGUGUGUUAGGUGUACCUCCACUAAAUGGUGGAGGCAGUAGUUGGGCCUUCUGAGUAAAGAGUCCAGGACCUGAAGUCUUGUAGAGAUGGUGAGGCAAGGCUCCACCCUCUCCUAACCAAGCAGGACCAGCUCUGGAAAAGAGGUCUGCAUAUAUUCUGCCUCCUGCCUCAAAACACCACAGGCAGUGGAAGGUUGACGUCAGCUGAGCUCUCCCAGUCCAGGGAGAAGAAGAACUACUAUGAAAAAGGACCAGCUGGAGGAGAAGCUGGUUUAAAGCCACAGAGGGAAUGAGACAAUAAACACAGCCCAACAAAGGGAGCUGUGGGAGAAGCUUGACAGGAAAUCCCCUUGGCCCCAAGAAGGAGGCCUAGGAAAACCCCUGAAUCUGAGCUUGCCCUCCACAUGGAAAGAUCAGACCCAGGAGUCCCUCUACAAGGAAGUAGCAGUGAUCAGGCGUUGGAAGGAAAAGGAUGUUUCUCACCUAUGGCGUCCUGGAGAUGUAAUACGUCUUUCACAUAAUCAUCUUGGACCUCCUCUAUUGCCAACCUAAUCCCAGCCAGCUCCUUGGACACUGCAAACAACAGGGGACAGAAAACAACUUUUGUAAAUGUGCAUGUCAAAGGGAGAGACCCCACCCCUGUGAAACCCCCACAAUUUUAUUGCACGUCUUCUGACAUUUGAUAUGUUUCUUCAAGCUCCCACUCCUUGAUUUAUGAAGUUAGGAGAGCAUCUCAGCUUUCAUUUAAAAAAAUUAAUUUCUACCCCUCAUGGUAGCGGAGAACAGCUUAAUAACAUGACCCAAGCAUGACCCUAAAGGCUCAGAAACCAGAACACAAAUAAAUCAAGCCCAACAUUUAUUGUAUUUUUUAAAAUCUCAUGAGUUUUAAGCCAGUCUCAUGGGCUUGACUCAUGAUUUUUGAAUGCUGGGGUUGGCAGCACAAGGGAACUCUUUAUACCCAACCUCUUGAGAAAAAUAAACAGAACAUACCAUUAAGAAGUCGAUUGUUAAACAUGUUGAAUUCUUUGGACAUCUUCAACUCUAAAAGGAAGAUGAGAAAAUGGGGAGUUUCCUUUUUAAAUAACAACACAGGACCUCAUGCUGCCCCACCCACACGCUCCACCCCUGAGGAAUGCUGGAUAAGGACCAUUCAUCCAGGAGCGUGUGAAAUUUAUGGAGCAAGGGCAGUCGUUGGCAAGGACAUAAAUGGGUUUCACUUAUAGCUAUUAAUGAUUUAUAUUACAGUGCUGCCUACAGGCCCCAACUGAGAUUAGGGCCCCUUUGUGCCAGGUGCUGCACAAACCCGAACCGAGAUUGGGUACCGUUGCUCUGGGCACUGCAUAGACACAGAGCGAGAGACAGUUACAAUACAAAUAGAAAAGAAAUGUUAUCUAUUUCACAGAUAGUGAAACUGAGGCACAGAGAAAUGAAGUGACUGUUUCAAGGUCACAGCGGGAGUCAGCAGCAAAACUGGGAACUGUAGCCAGAUCUUGUGAAUUCCAGCCCACGCCUGAGCCAGAACAGCAGCCAACCUCUACUCAGCUGGAGCUCAGACUCCCUUUGGGAGCAGCAGGAUCUGAGUACUAACCCACUGUUACUGUGAUGUUCUCAGUGCCCAUGACUUGCUGCACAGUGAUACCCCUGUAGUCCAGGUGGAUGCAGGCUCAUUACAGCAUUUAGAGUCCUGGGGCAAAUUAAGAUCAGUGUUUAUUAAGAGAGAUCUAGUCAAUGACCCACGCAGGGGAACUGUGGUGGAAAAAACAGGUCAGACCCAGGACUGCAUUGAGGCAAUCCAGCAGCAACCAAUUAAAGGAGGGCAUAAGUAGUUGCUGUUUAUAGGAUCCCUGGAUUGGGACCUAGAGUAGUGGGCAGGCCUAGUGUCCCCACCAGCGCUAGCAAAGUGGACUAAGCCCCAAGAAGGGGACAAGGCUUGUUCAGCACAGCGGGACUCAAAGGGCCCAGAGAUGGAACUGAAACCUCUAGUGAGGGGCGACAGUUUGUUGAACUCUUUGCUACUUCAGAAAGUGCUCAUCCAUUUUUGACUGUGUGACUUGGCCAGAGGGCUGAGCCACUCAUGGUGACAACCUACAGGGGGUGCCAGGAGCAGGAGGAAGUCCUUCAGUACCAGAUGCAGCAGCAGGAGACACUCAAGAGGCGAGUGUCCCCCCAUUACAGGCAGCAAUUGGUAAGGUUGUAAAUGGGUUUCACUUAUUAUUUCAUUAUUAUUGCCUAGAAGCCCCAGCUGAGACUGAGGCCCCUUUGUUCCAGGUGCUGUAUAGACCCCAACUGACAUAGAGACCCCGUUGCUCUGGGUAUUGCACAGUGAUAAAAUGAGAGACACUCCCUUACCCUGAGCUGAAGAGCUUACAAUACAAUAAGACAAGAAAUGUUACCCAUUUCACAGAUAGUGAAACUGAGGCACAGAGAAAUUAAGUGACUCUUUCAAGGUCACACAGGACGUCAGCAGCAAAACUGGGAACUGAAGCCAGAUCUCCUGAGGUCCAGCCCAUGCCUAAGCCAUAACGCCAGCCAACAUCUAUUCAACUCGGGGCUCAGAGCCUGUUUGGAGCAGCAGGGUCUGAGUACUAACCCACUGUUACUGUGAUGUUCUCAAUGCCUGUGAUGUGCUGCACAGUGACACCCCUGCAGUCCAGGUGCGUGCAGGCUCGUUACAGUGUUUAGAAUCCCAGAGAAAAAUUAGGAAAUUAACAACAGCGUUUAUUCAGAGAGAUCCAGUCAAUGACCAGCGAAGGGGGACUGUGUUGGAAAGAACAUUUCAGACCCAGGACAGCACUGAGGGAAUCCAGGGGCAAUAGGCACACCCAGUAUGGUAGUUCCCAUUGGCCCUCCCUCUGUAGAAUGGUUCCAACCCUAGGUAGGUUCGCAGGGGCCAUCUGCUGGAUGAUUGGAGACCCAUCAUCACACUUCUCCCCCGUCCAGAUUACUACUUCCUUACUUCAUUUGAGCUAGGGUUUGUCCUGGAGAACACUGGAGCCCCAGGUACAUGCCUACCCCUGGGAAAGACCAUUCCAUCUACGCCAAGACUUCCCCAGCAGGAUGACACUUUCAGCCAAUGAGACACUGGUGGAAAAGUGACCUCAUCAGAACAAAAAAAGAAAAGGAGUACUUGUGGCACCUUAGUGCACCUCUUCUUUUUGCGAAUACAGACUAACACAGCUGCUACUCUGAAACUCAUCAGAACAAAAUUUCAUUGGACAAUCAGUGAUCCUAGGAGCAGGACAAUGUUGUCCAACAACUUCUAAGAGCAGCUCCCACCUCCUGUGGUUGUCCCUCUCCCCACAAUGAUCUACAGACCUAUCUGAGCUCUGGUCAGAUCCCCAGCUGAUGUUUGUCUACUCAGCUCCACUGAAGUCCCAGGAGCUACAUCAACUUCCACCAGCGGUGCAAAUGACCCCGUGGGCCUAACUCUCCCCCCCCUUGAGGCAUAAGGACCAAGAAAGAUCUGCCAAGUUCGACAAGGAAUAGAAACAUUUCCUUUAUCCUCUCACCUAGAUA
Long non-coding RNA from Dermochelys coriacea (leatherback sea turtle), 7277 nucleotides. RefSeq lists it as uncharacterized. The record is from RefSeq and is a predicted model, not a curated record. The transcript is spliced from 7 exons. NCBI's taxonomy places the organism in Eukaryota, Metazoa, Chordata, Testudines, Dermochelyidae.